GAAUGCUGACAUAAGUAACGAUAAAGCGGGUGAAAAGCCCGCUCGCCGGAAGACCAAGGGUUCCUGUCCAACGUUAAUCGGGGCAGGGUGAGUCGACCCCUAAGGCGAGGCCGAAAGGCGUAGUCGAUGGGAAACAGGUUAAUAUUCCUGUACUUGGUGUUACUGCGAAGGGGGGACGGAGAAGGCUAUGUUGGCCGGGCGACGGUUGUCCCGGUUUAAGCGUGUAGGCUGAUUUUCCAGGCAAAUCCGGAAAAUCAAGGCUGAGGCGUGAUGACGAGGCACUACGGUGCUGAAGCAACAAAUGCCCUGCUUCCAGGAAAAGCCUCUAAGCAUCAGGUAACAUCAAAUCGUACCCCAAACCGACACAGGUGGUCAGGUAGAGAAUACCAAGGCGCUUGAGAGAACUCGGGUGAAGGAACUAGGCAAAAUGGUGCCGUAACUUCGGGAGAAGGCACGCUGAUAUGUAGGUGAAGCGACUUGCUCGUGGAGCUGAAAUCAGUCGAAGAUACCAGCUGGCUGCAACUGUUUAUUAAAAACACAGCACUGUGCAAACACGAAAGUGGACGUAUACGGUGUGACGCCUGCCCGGUGCCGGAAGGUUAAUUGAUGGGGUUAGCGGUAACGCGAAGCUCUUGAUCGAAGCCCCGGUAAACGGCGGCCGUAACUAUAACGGUCCUAAGGUAGCGAAAUUCCUUGUCGGGUAAGUUCCGACCUGCACGAAUGGCGUAAUGAUGGCCAGGCUGUCUCCACCCGAGACUCAGUGAAAUUGAACUCGCUGUGAAGAUGCAGUGUACCCGCGGCAAGACGGAAAGACCCCGUGAACCUUUACUAUAGCUUGACACUGAACAUUGAGCCUUGAUGUGUAGGAUAGGUGGGAGGCUUUGAAGUGUGGACGCCAGUCUGCAUGGAGCCGACCUUGAAAUACCACCCUUUAAUGUUUGAUGUUCUAACGUUGGCCCGUUAUCCGGGUUGCGGACAGUGUCUGGUGGGUAGUUUGACUGGGGCGGUCUCCUCCUAAAGAGUAACGGAGGAGCACGAAGGUUGGCUAAUCCUGGUCGGACAUCAGGAGGUUAGUGCAAUGGCAUAAGCCAGCUUGACUGCGAGCGUGACGGCGCGAGCAGGUGCGAAAGCAGGUCAUAGUGAUCCGGUGGUUCUGAAUGGAAGGGCCAUCGCUCAACGGAUAAAAGGUACUCCGGGGAUAACAGGCUGAUACCGCCCAAGAGUUCAUAUCGACGGCGGUGUUUGGCACCUCGAUGUCGGCUCAUCACAUCCUGGGGCUGAAGUAGGUCCCAAGGGUAUGGCUGUUCGCCAUUUAAAGUGGUACGCGAGCUGGGUUUAGAACGUCGUGAGACAGUUCGGUCCCUAUCUGCCGUGGGCGCUGGAGAACUGAGGGGGGCUGCUCCUAGUACGAGAGGACCGGAGUGGACGCAUCACUGGUGUUCGGGUUGUCAUGCCAAUGGCACUGCCCGGUAGCUAAAUGCGGAAGAGAUAAGUGCUGAAAGCAUCUAAGCACGAAACUUGCCCCGAGAUGAGUUCUCCCUGACUCCUUGAGAGUCCUGAAGGAACGUUGAAGACGACGACGUUGAUAGGCCGGGUGUGUAAGCGCAGCGAUGCGUUGAGCUAACCGGUACUAAUGAACCGUGAGGCUUAACCUUACAACGCCGAAG
This 1667-nucleotide ribosomal RNA is filed under the name Escherichia coli. RNAcentral describes it as "partial 23S ribosomal RNA". It matches the Rfam family "Bacterial large subunit ribosomal RNA", at positions 1292 to 2925 of the family's 2925-position model. The record is from RNAcentral. Lineage: Bacteria; Pseudomonadati; Pseudomonadota; Gammaproteobacteria; Enterobacterales; Enterobacteriaceae.